CACAGAGGGGGCAAGCGUUGUCCGGAAUUACUGGGCGUAAAGGGCGCGUAGGCGGCCUGUUAAGUCGAACGUGAAAUCCCCGGGCUCAACCCGGGAACUGCGUCCGAUACUGGCAGGCUUGAAUCCGGGAGAGGGAUGCGGAAUUCCAGGUGUAGCGGUGAAAUGCGUAGAUAUCUGGAGGAACACCGGUGGCGAAGGCGGCAUCCUGGACCGGCAUUGACGCUGAGGCGCGAAAGCCAGGGGAGCAAACGGG
RNAcentral lists this ribosomal RNA (253 nucleotides) under uncultured bacterium. RNAcentral describes it as "partial 16S ribosomal RNA". It matches the Rfam family "Bacterial small subunit ribosomal RNA", at positions 524 to 776 of the family's 1533-position model. The record is from RNAcentral.